GUGUGACAGAAUAGAAACAGAUGGACAUGUGCUAAUUUUUGUGGUUUGGUUUGUUCUGUUUGAGCUCGGUGACAUUAACCAGUGUGAGAGCAGCAGCUGAUCACUAGUUUCUGCUUCUUUACUUCCAUAAAAUUAGGUAUCAGGAAGUCUUGAGUCUUUAACCGUCUGUCAUUAUUCGGUCAGUAUGGAGCUCAGUCAACUUCAUCUUGUGCUCCUGCUGAUUUCAAGCAUCCACUCUGCACACACUGAAGAAAGACCAAAACCCACAGUAACCAUUAAACCUGCUCAACAUGUGCUCAGAGGAGAGACAGUCACUCUCAGAUGUGACAUAUAUAGUGAAGGAGUCACUAGCUGGAGCUACAGCUGGUAUAAAGACGAUUCAAUCAGUGUUUUCAGUUAUCAACAGGAACACACACUCUGUUCUGUUACUGAGUCUGACGCAGGUGAAUACACCUGUUAUGGAUUAAAAGAAUCACGCUGGUCACAAAUGAGUGAUGCAGUUACACUGAGAGUAUCAGGUGAGCUUCAUCAUCUCUUCAUACACACACAAACACACAUUUAACAUGUUAUUAAUGACUGAUUUCUCUAUUUCAGCUCCCAGAGCAGUUUUAAGUGUUUCUUAAGUGGUUAAAAAGUGAUCAGAUAUUUUGGGGGCCAAGCACCA
Cyprinus carpio (common carp) is the source of this 664-nucleotide long non-coding RNA. RefSeq lists it as uncharacterized. The record is from RefSeq and is a predicted model, not a curated record. The transcript has 4 exons. NCBI's taxonomy places the organism in Eukaryota, Metazoa, Chordata, Actinopteri, Cypriniformes, Cyprinidae.